UGCAAGAUAAAAAAAGGAAAAAAAUUUGCAAAGAUCAUGAUGAGAUGAGCAUUGGGUUCCCUUAGGCUUUGGAUGAAGUGGGCCUGCUUUUGUUCUUUUCUUUUUUCUUUAUGUAAUAUUUUUAACAUAUGGGAUUGUUUUUUGCAUUAAUGUUUGUGUAUGAUUGCUGUACAAGUCGCUCUCCAUCCUUCUCACACUCACAUAGGAAA
This 209-nucleotide unclassified non-coding RNA is filed under the name Hevea brasiliensis (rubber tree). The record is from RNAcentral. Lineage: Eukaryota; Viridiplantae; Streptophyta; Magnoliopsida; Malpighiales; Euphorbiaceae.